This 253-nucleotide ribosomal RNA is filed under the name uncultured bacterium. RNAcentral describes it as "partial 16S ribosomal RNA". It matches the Rfam family "Bacterial small subunit ribosomal RNA", at positions 524 to 776 of the family's 1533-position model. The record is from RNAcentral.
UACGGAGGAUGCAAGCGUUAUCCGGAUUUAUUGGGUUUAAAGGGUGCGUAGGCGGUUUUAUAAGUCAGUGGUGAAAGACUGUUGCCCAACGAUAGCAUUGCCAUUGAUACUGUAGGACUUGAGUAUAUUUGAGGUGGGCGGAAUGUGUAGUGUAGCGGUGAAAUGCUUAGAUAUUACACAGAACACCAAUUGCGAAGGCAGCUCACUAAACUAUAACUGACGCUGAGGCACGAAAGCGUGGGGAUCAAACAGG